GGCCCUAAAUCGAUAAAUUUUAUUUGAAUUUCAAACAAAAAAUAACAUUUGUGAAUCAAAAUAAUUUAUCGUUACUAGAAGACAACUUCAUUAUCUGGCAGUAUCCUUGUUUGAAGAAGUUCAACAUAAAUUGCAAUUCGUUCAGCUUUCAUGCAGUAAAAUACCCAUUCACCUUUCGACGCAAAUAAGCCGCUACACUGUACUGUAAAGCAUUAUAAAAAGGCAUCUGCCAACAAGCGGUGCCACAAAUGGCCCAUGGGAAUUAUCACGCCUCGACCUGCGCUGCGGAACCGAGAAAGGAAUGGAAUCUCGGAUUCGAAGCGACGAAUCAUUUGAAUUGGUACCCUUCCUGCUGCUGCUGAUGCCGCCGUCGUUGCACAGGUCAGCUUACCGCUUUGAGGAUGCAAAUCCCUUAUCAUCUAUUCAGCGAAACUAAUGCUUUCAGGCAGAAGGACGAAACAUUGAACGACCGACAGCACACGAGAUUUGCCGCGCGGCUACUAAUAUUGGGAAACGGGUUUGCAAAAUCGGACGAAACUCAUGUUUUCGGGAGAGCUGUUAAAUGCUGCUAUUAAUAAUUCAGUAUUAUUGAGCACGAAACGAUAAUACAUCUCAUUAUCAUGAAUGUAGCUAAUCGCACUCAAAAACUAUA
Wyeomyia smithii (pitcher-plant mosquito) is the source of this 652-nucleotide long non-coding RNA. RefSeq lists it as uncharacterized. NCBI's taxonomy places the organism in Eukaryota, Metazoa, Arthropoda, Insecta, Diptera, Culicidae. The record is from RefSeq and is a predicted model, not a curated record. The transcript is spliced from 3 exons.